AUUUUUUUCAUGGCUAUUUUAUUUUUGCGAUUUUGGCAUAUCUAACUUUAAAAAAAAACUAUAAUUAAAUGAGUGACUACUUUAACCACCAAAAUGUUAUAUUCAUUGUAAUAUACGUAUUAUUGACAUGUUUAACCCUACUGCAUGAUGCCUCCAGCCAUCGACAACCACAACCUCCGGCCAUCGACCACCAAUACCUCCAACCAUCAGCUGCCACUGCCACCACCACCAUAUUUGGCCACCGCCCCCACAACCACGACCACCUCUGACACCACGAGCCACCAUCGCCUCCAGCCACCGGUCACCACCGCCUACGGCCAACAACCACCUCUAGCCAUCACCCACCAUUAUCACCCAAACACCACAACACUAAAAUGGUAAUAUUUUAUACCCAUAAUCCUGUUUUUCUAAUUUUUUAAUUAAUAUGUUAUAAUCUUCAUACCCUUUUUCUUGUUUUGGUUAGUUGGUAAAUUGGUCCUAUAUUUUUUGGAUUUGAAGAAUAAGGUUGCGAAAAUAGAGUUUUAGAGACUAUCAUUUGCUUUCUGACUCUCCAACAGCCCAGCGUGCAGAAUAUCUGAAACAUUUUAAUUUUUUGGAUAUUUAACUACGGAACUAAGUUAGAGAAUCUCCAACCCCAUUUUAUUUUAAAUUCAAAACUUUAUUUUAGAGUAACAUUUGCUCCAACUAUAUCUUAUAUCUUGCUAAUAAAUUGAGUAAAUUAUAGAGUUGCUCUAUAUUUAGAGUAAUAUUAUUUUCUACUCUAUUUUUAUACACUACCUCUAUUUUAGAGUAAGAAAUCAAAUAAUACAUUAAAGCAAAACAAUAUUUUAUUUUAAAGUUACUACAUUUUAGAAAAAAACUAGGGAUGGAUCCGCACGUGCAUGGUUGAUUAAAAAACCUAAAUUUAUCAUAAAGUUUGUAAUAUUCGGAUCGACAUGAUAAGAGACCCCGAUCGAGUGUGAACCGAAUUAAUGAUAAGUUAGAAAUCAAUUAAAUUCAUGAACUAUCAUAUCACAUAAAAACAAAAAAAAUAUUAAAACUUUUGAAUAAAAUAACAUAAAUAUAAAUGUCAAAAGAGUCAAACCCGUUCACUAUGCAUGUCUUGCAACAAAUUGAAUUAUUUUAGCCUAUCCAUAUGAAUAAAUAAUAUGUCUUCUACUAGCAUGUUACCCAUAAUUCCCUUCUGUAUAUUAUUAGAAAUAGUUAAGAUAAUAAAUUUUAUUUUCUAAAUUACCCGUUCUCUUUCAGUAUCCGUUAUUUCUUGUUCCAACAUUUGAAAUAUCUAAGUAAUUUGAAACUUAUUUUUGCUAUUUAAAUUUCAUAUUCAUGUAUCAUACCCGUCAUUUGAUAUGUGGAAGUUGAAAUUGAAUUUAAGUUUCCAAUUUUUUUAUAUCGUCUUCUUUUUUAUGAGAAAUAGUUUAGACAAAUAUCUUUUUUGAAUUACCCGUUUCCUUUUUGUACCCAUUCUUUUCCCUCUAAAAUAAGACCAUAUAUUUCUUUUAUAUAAAUGGGGUUGUUAGAAUAAAACCAUUAAACUAAAUUAAAAAAUGAGAAUUUGUUAGAAAUACCCCUUUUGAGCUCUUAAAAAGUUAAAUAUGUUUUUUUUUUGUGGAAGAGGGGAGACCAGGGUCUCCCUACUUUAUUAAAAAAUAAAAUAACAAACUACAACCGAACAUGUCGGGGAAGCGAAGUCCCACAAGCAUCCUCAUCCAAAGUAAAAGCAAUACAAUCCGGACAAUGAUCUAAAAACCGAAAACCUAAAGGAAGAGAAAACGCAUAGUUCGCCAAUCCAUCCACAAGACGAUUAGCCUCCCUAUACACAUGAGAAAUUUGGACUUUCCAGUCCUUUGAGAGUAAGCCAUAGCACAGUCGUACUAGGAAAGACAGGGGGUGAGUAUCACUAAUCCCUGUCGUGAGAAAUCCAACCACCGCCUCGGAAUCCACCUCCAACUCCAAACGCGGUAUUCUCCGCUCCCACGCAAUAUAGAGACCAUAGUAUACUCCCCAUAAUUCUGCAAGCGGAGCCGAACAAAAGCCAAUAUUAAACGUAAACCCAUGAAUCCAGCGGCCCUCACCAUCUCGUAAAACUCCCCCUGCGGUAGCUAACCCCGGGUUGCCUCGAGAUGCUCCGUCCGUGUUCAGUUUCACCCAACCGUCCAUCGGUUUCCCCCAAGCAAUCUGUUUUUCCACCCUUAUGGGCAAAGGUUGUCUCGCACACAUCUCCGAAUGGCACACCAUACUCGCUUGAUCUUUCACAAACUUAACCCGAUCCCGACACAUCCAUAAAUCCCCAAAAACGUUUCCACACCGCCAUUUCCAAGCCCACCAAAUCACCAUUCCAAACAAGGUCGCCCAAGGGACCCCAAACCGCACAGCGACACUCCCUGUAUUAUCAUAUACCCAUUUGAACAACGACUGACUAUAAAAACCAACUCUUUGUCCCGGUAAAAGAAUAUGAUUCCAAACGCCCUCAAUUGCCGGACAAUCCCUUAACACGUGCAAAAUUGUUUCCUCUUCUCCUUUACACACUUGACACACACUUGAAUCACUAAGGUGCCUUCUUUGUCUUUCCCAAUUUGUCAUUAUCACUUGAUGAACGACCAGCCAAAUGAAGACUCUAACUCGCUCUGGUACCCGCAGACGCCAUAUCCUUCCGAAGAAUCCUUCCAUGUUCGGUUUCGGCACAGAAUCACUGGACAAAUAAGAGUAAGCCGACUUCACCGAGAACCCAGAACUCUCACUCCAAGCCACCCUAUCCUUCGCACCAGUAACAGAAUCAACCACCACCGCCAAGAGACGGAGCUUAUCGAGAUUGGAGAUAAACGGCUCAAUGCGCUGCCAAUCCCAACCUACCCCGUCAAUCCAAAAAUCCUGAACAAUCCUGUUUUCAUCAUCCGACGGAACAUCCCUUAUAUUGCACUUCACUAAAGGUUGUGUCCCAAGCCAAUGAUCCGUCCAAAACUUGAUUGACAGACCAUCUCCUAGCACCCAUUUCAAACCCGGAAACACUACAUCCCGAAGACCUUUCCCCACACUUCUCCAUGUCGAAGACCAGUUACUCUUCGCCCUUGUCCAGCUCUGGUCCUGAUAAUUUCCUAUCUUAUACUUGCUACGAACAACUCGUGCCCACAGACUCGUAUUAUCCUGAACGACCCUCCAACCAAUCUUACUAAUAAGAGCUUGAUUCAUAGGCUCUGCAGCCCUAACACCCAAUCCGCCAAACUCUUUGGGGCAACAAAGCUUCUCCUACGACACCAAAUGCUGUUUUCUAUGUUCAGUAGUACUUCCCCACAGAAAAUUCCGAGAGACCCUAUCCAAUCCAGCCAAAGUCGACUUCGGGAGCAAUAUAGUGCUCAUAGUAUGAACUGGAAUAAAAGUAAAGACUGAUUUCGUCAACGUUAUCCUCCCAGCAAGGCUCAUCGUACGACCUUUCCAGCCCGCUAGCCUGGAAGAUACUCGCUCCAACACUGCCCCAAACGUAUUCUUGUUAAUCCGUUUAUGAAGAAUAGGCAUGCCAAGAUAUUUACCAAGAUCUCUCGUCCCCGCAAUGCCACUCUCCUCACUUAUCAACUUUCGUAAAUCCCGGUGAACAUUGUCUGAGAAAAAGAUUUUGGAUUUCUCAAGACUGACUUUCUGCCCCGAGGCCACACAAAACUUUUCCAACACUCCUCUUACCACCUUAACUUGAGCAACCGAAGCUUCUGCAAAUAAGAUAAGGUCAUCCGCAAAACAAAUAUGAGACAACUUCGGACCGCCUCUUGAUAAGCUAAUGGGCUUCCACUGCUUUAAAUCAAUGGACCUCUCAAUUAAAUGACACAGUCUCUCCAUGCAAAGCACAAACAGGUAAGGUGACAGUGGGUCUCCUUGGCGGAUUCCCCUCGCUGGUCGGAACGCUUCCGUCUUCUCACCAUUCCAUAAAACGUGCAUAGAUGGACCUGUCACGCAAGACAUAAUCCAUUGGACCCAAUUAUCCGAGAGUCGUGCAGCUCUCAAAGAAUCUUCAAGAAAAUCCCAUCGUAUUCUGUCGUAUGCCUUUUCCAAAUCCAACUUAAGCAGCAUCCAACCUUUUUUCCCUUUCUUACGACGCAUGGAGUGCACGGCUUCUUGAACCACCACAAUGUUGUCAGUGCUUAGUCUCCCCGAAAUGAAGCUCGAUUGUGCUGGGCUUAUCAACAUUGGCAUAAUUUCCUUCAACCUCAUCACCAUAGUCUUUGUUAUUGUCUUAAACAAAACGUUACAAAGACUAAUGGGCCAAAAUUGAGCCACCCUUUCCGGUUUGGCCACCUUAGCAAUAAGAACGACUAAAGCAUCAUUCAUCUUCUCAGGUAGCACCCCAGUCUCGAAGAACUUCAAAGCAAAUGACACCACAGAAGUUCCAACGACAUCCCAGCACUCUUGGUAAAAAACCGGUUGAAACCCGUCUGGACCUGGAGCCUUGUAUUUACCCAUACUUCUUACUGCUCCUUCAAUCUCAUGCCCCGAGAACGGCUUCGCGAGCAAAGCCACAUGCUCAUGCGAAAGAUGCGUAAAACCAUCCAAAGGAAGCUUCGGAACACUCUGGUCUACAUCUUCCAUCGAGUACAACCGCUUGUAGUAACUAACGGCUAUCUCUUCCAGUUUUAUAGUAUCCGAUAUCCAUCUCCCAUCGUCACCUCUUAACAUCUCAAUACGGUUACAUAUGUAAAUCUUCGAAUUUAAUUGUCCACUUUUUUGGCAACAAAAUUAAU
RNAcentral lists this long non-coding RNA (4727 nucleotides) under Capsella rubella. RNAcentral describes it as "long non-coding RNA (CRUB_LNC001434)". The record is from RNAcentral. Lineage: Eukaryota; Viridiplantae; Streptophyta; Magnoliopsida; Brassicales; Brassicaceae.